GUUGGUGGUUACCUAAAGUGGUGAAGUUUGUGCAGCAACAAGGCAUCUUAACGGAGGACUAGCAAUCUAAAGGUAGCCAUGAGAACGGCUCCUUUUGUACUUGCAGUUGUAAUCUGUAUUUCACAGAUCACGUCGAUUUUCAGCCGGUUCGUACCCGACGCAGACUCAUGUGACCUGCCAUAUUGCCCAGGAGAAAUGCCUGUGUGUUUCAGAGGCUAUCGUACUGGAAGAGAUUGUUACUGCACAUGCUUUCUGAAAGGAAUGGUGUGCCCACCGAUUUGGUGGGCGUGGUGUCCCGGAGGUAGACGUCCCAGGUGCAACCAUGAUUGGCCACAUUCUUGUUCCUGCUCAUGCGAAUUACGGAAGAGAUGGCGGCGAGGAGUUGUUCACAACCCGGCUCGUCACGCUGCGAGCACUGCAUCUCGCCAUUAGAAACGCCUGACAUUCUUUUUCAAUAAAUAAAGAUGUCGAUAUUUUUCCGAAGA
Rhipicephalus sanguineus (brown dog tick) is the source of this 485-nucleotide long non-coding RNA. RefSeq lists it as uncharacterized. The transcript is spliced from 5 exons. The record is from RefSeq and is a predicted model, not a curated record. Lineage: Eukaryota; Metazoa; Arthropoda; Arachnida; Ixodida; Ixodidae.